RNAcentral lists this ribosomal RNA (278 nucleotides) under uncultured bacterium. Its description in RNAcentral is "partial 16S ribosomal RNA". It matches the Rfam family "Bacterial small subunit ribosomal RNA", at positions 333 to 604 of the family's 1533-position model. The record is from RNAcentral.
GAUUGCCUACGGGGGCAGCAGUAGGGAAUCUUCCACAAUGGGCGAAAGCCUGAUGGAGCAACGCCGCGUGGGUGAAGAAGGUCUUCGGGUCGUAAAACCCUGUUGUUAGAGAAGAAAGUGCGUGAGAGUAACUGUUCACGUUUCGACGGUAUCUAACCAGAAAGCCACGGCUAACUACGUGCCAGCAGCCGCGGUAAUACGUAGGUGGCAAGCGUUAUCCGGAUUUAUUGGGCGUAAAGGGAACGCAGGCGGUGUUUUACGUCUGAUUUGAAUGGCUU